GGGCACAAUCUUUGCUGUCAUCUGAGAAGUUAUUUCUGAUUUCAUUUUUUCCAGAUCCUCUUUUGCUGCCAGUUCAGGGAGUCCAGGUGGUUGAGUAUCAGAGUGUUCCAUCUGGUUUCCCUUUGGAGUUGCUUCUUACUGGGUGGAUGUGACUGUCUGAGGAGACAGAAGCUCAGGGAAGCAGUGUCUUGUGCAAGCAUGGACAGGGAUUGAACUUGGGUCCAUGCACUUGUAAGGCAGGCGCCAGAACCACUGAGCUAAAUUCCCGGCCCCAGAGCACUCUUCUUGUUUGAUAGUGGGGAUCUGUUUCCCCCACUGACAAGUCUAAGACAAGGACCUCAUCUGCUCCCACCGUGUCCCUGUGCCCAGCACAGCACAGAAUUGAAGGUCCUGCAUCCUCAGAGACGCCCCACAUCCGUGGAACGUCCAGGUGCUUGGCUUGUCAGAGAGAGCACUUUGACGGGAAUAAGACUACAGGUGUCUUCCCUCUUGCAUGGUGAGGGGCUGAGGAGCAGGACCAGGAGCCAUCCCAAGCUGUCACAGUGAGUAGUGCCACCGGAC
RNAcentral lists this long non-coding RNA (561 nucleotides) under Heterocephalus glaber (naked mole-rat). RNAcentral's name for it is "lncRNA (ENSHGLG00000037436.1)". The record is from RNAcentral. Lineage: Eukaryota; Metazoa; Chordata; Mammalia; Rodentia; Bathyergidae.